GAUGAACGCUGGCGGCGUGCUCAACACAUGCAAGUCGAACGGUGAAGCAGGAGCUUGCUCUUGUGGAUCAGUGGCGAACGGGUGAGUAACACGUGAGCAACCUGCCCCUGACUCUGGGAUAAGCGCUGGAAACGGCGUCUAAUACUGGAUAUGUGAUGUGACCGCAUGGUCUGCAUCUGGAAAGAAUUUCGGUUGGGGAUGGGCUCGCGGCCUAUCAGCUUGUUGGUGAGGUAAUGGCUCACCAAGGCGUCGACGGGUCGCCGGCCUGAGAGGGUGACCGGCCACGCUGGGACUGAGACACGGCCCAGACUCCUACGGGAGGCAGCAGUGGGGAAUAUUGCACAAUGGGCGGAAGCCUGAUGCAGCAACGCCGCGUGAGAGAUGACGGCCUUCGGGUUGUAAACCUCUUUUAGCAGGGAAGAAGCGAAAGUGACGGUACCUGCAGAAAAAGCACCGGCUAACUACGUGCCAGCCGCCGCGGUAA
Molecule: ribosomal RNA, 484 nt
Filed under: uncultured bacterium
Lineage: Bacteria
Description: partial 16S ribosomal RNA
Rfam family: Bacterial small subunit ribosomal RNA
Source: RNAcentral